AUUGAACGCUGGCGGCAGGCCUAACACAUGCAAGUCGAACGGAGUGGCGGACGGGUGAGUAAUGCCUAGGAAUCUGCCUGGUAGUGGGGGAUAACGACCGGAAACGGGCGCUAAUACCGCAUACUAUCAGAUGAGCCUAGGUCGGAUUAGCAAGUUGGUGGGGUAAAGGCCUACCAAGGCGACGAUCCGUAACUGGUCUGAGAGGAGGAUCAGCCCCACGUGAACUGAGACACGGUCCAGACUCCUACUGGAGGCAGCAGUGGGGAAUAUUGGCCAAUGGGCGAAAGCCUGAUCCAGCCAUGCCGCGUGUGUGAAGAAGGUCUUCGGAUUGUAAAGCACUUUAAGUUGGGAGGCGUUACCAACAGAAUAAACACCGGCUAACUUCGUGCCAGCAGCCGCGGUAAUAC
This 407-nucleotide ribosomal RNA is filed under the name uncultured bacterium. Its description in RNAcentral is "partial 16S ribosomal RNA". It matches the Rfam family "Bacterial small subunit ribosomal RNA", at positions 30 to 526 of the family's 1533-position model. The record is from RNAcentral.